GUGAAGAGUUUGAUCCUGGCUCAGAGUGAACGCUGGCGGUAGGCCUAACACAUGCAAGUCGAACGGCAGCACAGGAGAGCUUGCUCUCUGGGUGGCGAGUGGCGGACGGGUGAGGAAUACAUCGGAAUCUACUCUGUCGUGGGGGAUAACGUAGGGAAACUUACGCUAAUACCGCAUACGACCUACGGGUGAAAGUGGGGGACCGCAAGGCCUCACGCGAUUGAAUGAGCCGAUGUCGGAUUAGCUAGUUGGCGGGGUAAAGGCCCACCAAGGCGACGAUCCGUAGCUGGUCUGAGAGGAUGAUCAGCCACACUGGAACUGAGACACGGUCCAGACUCCUACGGGAGGCAGCAGUGGGGAAUAUUGGACAAUGGGCGCAAGCCUGAUCCAGCCAUACCGCGUGAGUGAAGAAGGCCCUCGGGUUGUAAAGCUCUUUUGUUGGGAAAGAAAUCCUGCCGGUUAAUACCUGGCAGGGAUGACGGUACCCAAAGAAUAAGCACCGGCUAACUUCGUGCCAGCAGCCGCGGUAAUACGAAGGGUGCAAGCGUUACUCGGAAUUACUGGGCGUAAAGCGUGCGUAGGUGGUUGUUUAAGUCUGUCGUGAAAGCCCUGGGCUCAACCUGGGAAUUGCGAUGGAUACUGGGCAACUAGAGUGUGGUAGAGGGUGGCGGAAUUCCCGGUGUAGCAGUGAAAUGCGUAGAGAUCGGGAGGAACAUCCGUGGCGAAGGCGGCCACCUGGGCCAACACUGACACUGAGGCACGAAAGCGUGGGGAGCAAACAGGAUUAGAUACCCU
Molecule: ribosomal RNA, 795 nt
Filed under: uncultured eukaryote
Lineage: Eukaryota
Description: partial Bacterial small subunit ribosomal RNA
Rfam family: Bacterial small subunit ribosomal RNA
Source: RNAcentral